RNAcentral lists this ribosomal RNA (465 nucleotides) under uncultured bacterium. Its description in RNAcentral is "bacterial SSU rRNA". It matches the Rfam family "Bacterial small subunit ribosomal RNA", at positions 338 to 795 of the family's 1533-position model. The record is from RNAcentral.
CCUACGGGAUGCAGCAGUGGGGAAUAUUGCACAAUGGGCGCAAGCCUGAUGCAGCCAUGCCGCGUGUAUGAAGAAGGCCUUAGGGUUGUAAAGUACUUUCAGUUGGGAGGAAGGCGUUGAUGCUAAUAUCAUCAACGAUUGACGUUACCAACAGAAGAAGCACCGGCUAACUCCGUGCCAGCAGCCGCGGUAAUACGGAGGGUGCAAGCGUUAAUCGGAAUUACUGGGCGUAAAGCGCACGCAGGCGGUUGAUUAAGUUAGAUGUGAAAUCCCCGGGCUUAACCUGGGAAUGGCAUCUAAGACUGGUCAGCUAGAGUUUUGUAGAGGGGGGUAGAAUUUCAUGUGUAGCGGUGAAAUGCGUAGAGAUGUGGAGGAAUACCGGCGGCGAAGGCGGCCCCCUGGACAAAGACUGACGCUCAUGUGCGAAAGCGUGGGGGGCAAACAGGAUUAGAUACCCCGGUAGUC